UUCACACUCAAAAAACUACCUGCAAUAUUUUUAUGUGAAGGAGAGGAUGCAGUUUUUUUGCUGCUAACAUCUCACAAAACAGAGGUUCCCUGGCUCUAAUUCAAAGUUUGCUGACAAGCACCUUUUGAUGACAACCAUGGGACAAGUGUAGCUGGCAAGAAGUGUGUUGUUUCCAUUAGUGAAAAACAUCAGCUUUAUGCAGAGAUUCUUUCAGUGAGGGGCUGGACACAGUCAGAGGGUGCUGUGCUGUUGGCACCCAGUAAAUGAAAAUCAAGGUGACAGCUGUGACAUAUGAGAAGAAAAGAGCUACUACGUGUCAGGCGUAAAGAUGCAGAAAAAGUAACUACGGAAAGAUCUAUUACCAAAAUAUAAGGAUAACAUUUUGUUUCAAUUUUUCUUGUAGCUAUAAGCUCGGGAUGAGACUUUGGUCUGAUCCACUCCUGUAAAAGUCAUUUUAGUACCAUUUGCUCAU
This 472-nucleotide long non-coding RNA is filed under the name Parus major (Great Tit). RNAcentral describes it as "lncRNA (ENSPMJG00000004967.1)". Lineage: Eukaryota; Metazoa; Chordata; Aves; Passeriformes; Paridae. The record is from RNAcentral.